Molecule: ribosomal RNA, 100 nt
Filed under: Cephalotus follicularis
Lineage: Eukaryota; Viridiplantae; Streptophyta; Magnoliopsida; Oxalidales; Cephalotaceae
Source: RNAcentral
UGGUGCGGUCAUACCAGCGCUAAUGCACUGGAUGCCAUCGGAACUCCGAAGUUAAGCGUGCUUGAACGAUGUAUAAUAGUUUUAUACAUACCUGCUCUGA